Molecule: ribosomal RNA, 460 nt
Filed under: uncultured bacterium
Lineage: Bacteria
Description: partial 16S ribosomal RNA
Rfam family: Bacterial small subunit ribosomal RNA
Source: RNAcentral
CCUACGGGUGGCAGCAGUGAGGAAUAUUGGUCAAUGGACGAGAGUCUGAACCAGCCAAGUAGCGUGAAGGAUGACUGCCCUAUGGGUUGUAAACUUCUUUUAUAUGGGAAUAAAACGUUCCACGUGUGGGAUUUUGUAUGUACCAUAUGAAUAAGGAUCGGCUAACUCCGUGCCAGCAGCCGCGGUAAUACGGAGGAUCCGAGCGUUAUCCGGAUUUAUUGGGUUUAAAGGGAGCGUAGGUGGAUUGUUAAGUCAGUUGUGAAAGUUUGCGGCUCAACCGUAAAAUUGCAGUUGAAACUGGCAGUCUUGAGUACAGUAGAGGUGGGCGGAAUUCGUGGUGUAGCGGUGAAAUGCUUAGAUAGCACGAAGAACUCCGAUUGCGAUGGCAGUUCACUGGACUGCAACUGACACUGAGGCUCGAAAGUGUGGGUAUCAAACAGGAUUAGAUACCCGAGUAGUC